RNAcentral lists this transfer RNA (72 nucleotides) under Aedes aegypti (yellow fever mosquito). It matches the Rfam family "tRNA". Rfam says of the family: Transfer RNA (tRNA) molecules are approximately 80 nucleotides in length. Their secondary structure includes four short double-helical elements and three loops (D, anti-codon, and T loops). Further hydrogen bonds mediate the characteristic L-shaped molecular structure. tRNAs have two regions of fundamental functional importance: the anti-codon, which is responsible for specific mRNA codon recognition, and the 3' end, to which the tRNAs corresponding amino acid is attached (by aminoacyl-tRNA synthetases). tRNAs cope with the degeneracy of the genetic code in two manners: having more than one tRNA (with a specific anti-codon) for a particular amino acid; and 'wobble' base-pairing, i.e. permitting non-standard base-pairing at the 3rd anti-codon position. Lineage: Eukaryota; Metazoa; Arthropoda; Insecta; Diptera; Culicidae. The record is from Rfam by way of RNAcentral.
GGCUCAGUAGCUUAGUUGGUAAAGCGCUCGUCUAGCAUACAAGAGUCCUGGGUUCAAAUCUCAGCCGAGCAC